This 487-nucleotide ribosomal RNA is filed under the name uncultured bacterium. RNAcentral describes it as "partial 16S ribosomal RNA". It matches the Rfam family "Bacterial small subunit ribosomal RNA", at positions 28 to 523 of the family's 1533-position model. The record is from RNAcentral.
GAUGAACGCUGGCGGCGUGCUUAACACAUGCAAGUCGAACGGGAUCCAUCAGGCUUUGCUUGGUGGUGAGAGUGGCGAACGGGUGAGUAAUGCGUGACCGACCUGCCCCAUACACCGGAAUAGCUCCUGGAAACGGGUGGUAAUGCCGGAUGCUCCGACUCCUCGCAUGGGGUGUCGGGAAAGAUUUCAUCGGUAUGGGAUGGGGUCGCGUCCUAUCAGGUAGUCGGCGGGGUAACGGCCCACCGAGCCUACGACGGGUAGCCGGCCUGAGAGGGCGACCGGCCACAUUGGGACUGAGAUACGGCACAGACUCCUACGGGAGGCAGCAGUGGGGAAUAUUGCACCAUGGGCGCAAGCCUGAUGCAGCGACGCCGCGUGCGGGAUGACGGCCUUCGGGUUGUAAACCGCUUUUGAUCGGGAGCAAGCCUUCGGGUGAGUGUACCCGUUGAAUAAGCACCGGCUAACUACGUGCCAGCCACCGCGGUAA